UGACGUGCAAAUCGUUUGUCAAACCUGGGUAUAGGGGCGAAAGACUAAUCGAACCAUCUAGUAGCUGGUUCCCUCCGAAGUUUCCCACAGGAUAGCUUGAACGCAACGGUUUUGUCAGGUAAAGCGAAUGAUUAGAGGCCUUGGGGCUGAAACAGCCUUAACCUAUUCUCAAACUUUAAAUGGGCAAGAGGUCCGGGAUGCUUGAGUGAUCCCGGGCGGCGAACGGCGCGUUCAAAGUGGGCCAUUUUUGGUAAGCAGAACUGGCGAUGAGGGAUGAACCUAUUGUCGAGCUACUGUGUUUCACACCAUGAGCAUCAGAUGCCAGAAAGGGUGUUGGUUCAUCUUAACAGCAGGACAGUGGUCAUGGAAGUCGAAAUCUGCUAAGGAGUGUGUAACAACUCACCUGCCGAAUGAAGCAGCCCCGAAAAUGG
This 431-nucleotide ribosomal RNA is filed under the name Oxyrrhis marina. Its description in RNAcentral is "partial Eukaryotic large subunit ribosomal RNA". It matches the Rfam family "Eukaryotic large subunit ribosomal RNA", at positions 887 to 1321 of the family's 3401-position model. The record is from RNAcentral. Lineage: Eukaryota; Dinophyceae; Oxyrrhinales; Oxyrrhinaceae.